This is a non-coding RNA of Odocoileus virginianus texanus, 1200 nucleotides long. Lineage: Eukaryota; Metazoa; Chordata; Mammalia; Artiodactyla; Cervidae. The record is from RefSeq and is a predicted model, not a curated record.
UCCCGGGUCAGUGUCUGGACCUGCCGUGGCCCGCCUCCGCUGAUCUGGGGCGGCGGCGUGUUUUCCACUGCAGUUCUCCCCUUGGUCACAGGCAGCUGCCUCCCGGACUGGACUCAGAUCCAUCCUAGAAGGGGGUCUUCCUGACCUGUUUGAGGGCCUUCAGAAAUGCAACAGAGCCACCUGUCUUCUCUACUAAGGUGACGACCCGAUUAUCAGGAAAGUCUGUAACUCUUGCCCCUACGGCAGAGUGGAGUUGAUUGAGUGCCUUCAAGGACUCUCAGCAGGCCAGCUCCCCCAGUUCACCCUCGCCCCACCCCCGGGGCCCAGCCAAUCCUCCAGGGCCCUGCAGAAGGGCUCGCUCAGACCUUCCUUGGCGAGAAGUUCAGAGAAGGGCUAAUCUGUCUGGAAGCUCCUGCAGUACACAUGAGCCAGUGGCCGCUUCUGAGUCCUUGCCCGCUAACAUUCCCAGGAACCCCCUGCCAUCUCUGUGGUCACUCUGGGGUUACACUGUGCAAGGUGAGCAGGGGACAGACUUUAAAAGGGAAAAUUCUUCAGAGCUCAGCCUGAGGAGCCAUUGAUUUGUUCCCCGGAUUCCAUGUUUCUCAAUAUGUGGGAGGGGAAAAAACACGUCCUUUAGACCAGCAUUAUCACUCACUUUGCAAUUGCCUUUGUGUGUGCUGGUCUCAGCUACUGAAUGGUAAAUUCCUUGAAAGUGUGAUUGUAUUUUGUUGAUCAAAUAUCAUACUUAGCAUCAUCUUGGUUUGUCAAUAGGCCUUCAGUCUCUAUGCACUGAGAUUUGAUUGCUUUCAAAUUCUAGCUUGGCCACAUGUUGGUUAUAGGUUACAUAAAUAAAUGUUGGUUGAUUAAAAGAAUGAAUGGGAUCUUCCCUAGUGACCCAGUGGAUAUGAAUUUGCCUUGCAGUGUUGGGGACACAGGUUCAAUCCUUGGUCCGGGAACUAAGAUCUCGCACACUAAGCCUGAGGACUCCAGAGCUCACUUGCUGCAACUCCUGAAGCCUGCAUGCUCUAGAGCCUGUGCUCCACAAGAGAAACCACUGCAAUGAGAAGCCGGCACACCGCAACUGGAGACUAGCCCCCACUCAACGCAGCUAAAGGAAGCCUAAGUGCAGCAACAAUAAAAAAAAAAAAAUUUAAUAUAAAGAAACUAAUAGAUAAAAAUAAAAGAAUGAGUGGAAGAGGA